Long non-coding RNA from Gallus gallus (chicken), 12072 nucleotides. RefSeq lists it as uncharacterized. NCBI's taxonomy places the organism in Eukaryota, Metazoa, Chordata, Aves, Galliformes, Phasianidae. The transcript is spliced from 2 exons. The record is from RefSeq and is a predicted model, not a curated record.
GGUGUCGACGCAUCCCGGCCGGCAGAGUGCUGCCUGCUGCUCUGCAGCGCUGCCUGUGCCGAAUCGGCUCCGAGGGGGAAUUCCUCUGUGCCGCCGGUAGGCUGCAUCCUGCGCUGUUACCGGGCGGGGCUUCUUUAAAAAUCACUGCGUGCAUCACCGGAUCCACUGACACGGACUAUCUUUAACUAUGGGAAUAUUCUUCUGCAGCCAUCUCUGCAAUGAACCGCACUCAGUGCCCUACUUCCCUUGCUCAGGGAGGCUCUGAGGGUGAAUCUGGUCAGGUAUAGCAGAGGCAGCAGUGCUCACAGCAUCCAGACGCUUCAUGAGCCUCACUGCAGUAACUACAGCCUGCCUUACCAGACGCUCGGGGGGGGUGGUUUGAAAUAAUUGUAAGGAGUGCUGUUACAUUUUUAACGUUUCCCUUCUCUUCUGUUACAUGGGUCAGAGCCUGUGUUCUAAAGUGCAGCCUGAAUUGCCUCUGAAAUCAGAAAUGUAAAUGCCUCAUGAUGCGCCAAAUUAUUUCCUUUCCUUUUCAGAUGUUCUCAUUCUCCCCUUCUUUGACUUCUUAAGGUGAGCAACCCCUGGGGUGUUCUGCUGUACUGCUGAUGCUUAGCAUAUGGAAGCUGAGAAACAGAUGUAUGCGAUGAGGGCCGCUCUGACGAUCGUCUGUCAAACCAUGGGCAGCACCAGGAGGAGCACCCCGGGUCUUCUGGCUCUCUGUAGCCCACCCUGAGCACUGCAGCCUGCCUUCUGCUGCACAUGGUGUGAUUCAUAAUGCAGAGGCUCUGCUGUAAGCUGGCUGCCUCUUUGUGAGCUGCCGCUGCUGCAGCAGAGAAAAGCGUUUGAGCUCAGGCAGCAAAGAGAUUGUGCAUGUCUAGCAAAUAGUCAGAACUCCAGAAACAGUGCUUAACAGAUUAUCUUAUCUUGGGAUAAUCUCAUAAAGCAUACUGACUGGUUAAAACUACGCUUUGAAGUUUGCAGCAAACAUCUCAAAUCUUUACCCUUUGUGACUGUGGGCUUUUUGUUUGUUGUUUCCUCCAUUGUCUGUACAAAAAUACCACUUCACGUAUUCUUUUUGAUAGUCUGUGUUCUAGCCUUUCUGGAAAAGUACCAAAUCAUUAAUGGGUAUUCGUUGCUUUUAGUUGUGCUUCUCAGUGCUAACCCUAUUCCUGCUAUUUGCAGUUUGUUUAGGCUAUGUUUAGGCACAUGCAAAUGUAAGUGGUUAUUCAGCGCCUUUGGCGUUCUGAACAGAAUGUCCUGAACUCCCGUGGCUCCUUACAAAGCCUCAGCCUCCAGCACUAACAAAGCCUGUGACGGCAGCAGCUGAAGCAUGAGAACUACCUGCCCUCGACAGGGUGAAUUCGGAGAAUCUGGGAAGGUUGUAGACCAUGAUCUCAUGCAUGCUCUGCCUGCAGCACUGGAGCUGGGCUGAUGCAGCAUUGCAUGCGGUGUGUGGAUUCUUCUGCAGCAUGAAGUUUUUCUCUGGCUGCAUCAACACUUGGGUUCAGUGUGUUCCUGAAUUAUAAUGGAGACUUCUACAAAUAAUGCAGUAACUGGAAGUGAAGCGAAACCGUGUGAUGCUGCGGCCUCCCAAGUAUCUGCUGGCAGCAGCCUGGGAUUUUUACAGUUGUUUAUCUUGUUGCUCAGCCUAUUUUAAGCUCUGGUGGACCAACAACAGCAGAGUAACGACAGAUCACAGUGCUGGGCACAACUGUUUAGCUCCUAAAACCCAUGCUUUAAGCUUCAGACUUGCUUUAUAUUGUCAUGUGUUCAGUAGCUUCAGACUUGUGGCUUCAGGCUCGUAUGCUCUUUGCUGGCUCUUGCAUGAUGUGAGGGAGCCCUGAUUCACCCCGAGGAGUGUGGUGUAUCCAGGCAAGAAAGAGGCUGCGGCAGUGAUGGAAAGCGCACGCUGUGCAGGGCAGGGCCCAACCUCAUCCUUGGUCCAGCUCCCACGAUGGAGAUACAAAGAGGUUUUUAUCUCCCAAGUCUUCUUAUUGGAUCUUCUUUAUCAUCUGUUCAUUUGUGCCAGAGUCAAUUAAUUUCUUGGGUUUACUGAGUAGGUAGUACACUGUGUAAGACUUUAAUAGGGAGCAGUAUAGGAUAAAUCUCUCCUAUCCUGGAAAUGAUUCAGCUUCUAAUGCUGAUUCUGUACUCAUCUGACUCUGGUACACUGAUUACAUGGUCUCCUACCACACAAAAUAUUCUAGAAGUGGUGCUCUGCAUUUUCCUCUGUCUCCAGACUUGGGACUUCUGAGAGCAGCUUGUCCUGCAGGCUCAGCUCCCUGUUUUUUGGUGGAUUAGGUGCAUUUGUGGUUACUGACAAGUUUAGGUUCAUUGCAUUUGCUUUAACGCUGUGUGGAGCAGGACAGAAAGCUUGUUGAUUCUUGUAAUGAUGGAGCCACAUAAUGGAUGGAGCCAGGACAGGCAUGUUCCCCAUCUGGGGGGAAAAGCAGAACCGUCAGUGUCAUGAAGUCAUGCUGGGGAGUAAAAGGAAGUGCACAGCUGGAGAGGUGGGACAGAGGGGAGGUGGGGGGAUGUGAUGGCUGUACCUCAUCUACUUCAGGUAAUCACCACAAAAGCUCAGGAAAGUAAAUUGCCAAGCUUGUUUCCUUACCCUCACUUCACAUUUUUGGGUGGUAAAGGAAAUCACAGGGCAUUUAGCUGCUCCGUUUCAUACGGCUACUUUUCAAGCCCUGUGCAGAUAACUAAUACUCAAAAUAUUAACACAGAUUUGCUGUAAUUUGAAAUCCAGUUUCUACCCAUACAUUGUCCUACCCUUGGGUUAUAAUGGCUAAACUUUCAUCAGAACUCACCCUUUAUUUUGUUUCCAAACUGCUGAUGCACAUGCCUGUCAGGGGCAGCUGUGCACUGCAGGCAUACACAGAAGACAUGGAGGGCAGGAGCAGACCUCUGCAGCUGGGAGUCCGUGCUGGGGCCUCUGGGCACUGUGCAAAUUGGCUCCAGGGACCUCGUGUGUGUGUGAAAGGAAAUCAUGUUCUGCACCGAAGUAAGAUCAUGGCUACUGAAAUCUCUAUGCUGCGUGCAAUGCAGAUUAGGAAGAAAUCCGGAGCAGCUGUUACAUUACAGGAAACUGCAGUUCGUCCUGUCGUGGCCUAAGAGCUUGUUACUGUGGGUGCUGUUUUCCCCAGAAGAGCCUUGCAUGCAGCCAGCAGGCAAACUGCUGCAGUUCAGCCCAGUGCAGGUCUGUAAGACCCCCAGUGCUGGCUUUUCAGUCACUGAAGCAAUCUUGUUGAACCAACUUUAAUGAGAAACCUAAACAAUUUGUUCAUUUAAAAAUCUGCCUAAUUGUGUCUGUUCUAGAAUGCAGCCAAAUGAACCAAAAGUAGUGCGAACAGCAAGUUAUCUUGUUCUUUGCUGGGCUGAUCAUGGAGAAAGAGAGAGAGAGAAUUUGCUGCUGUCUCCUCUGCACCGCUGAGCUCAUGCCUGGGACAGCUGCACAUCGUGGGCCCAGGAGGGCACUGAGUGUUUCAGUCCUCCACAGCUCUGAAGCCACGCUCAAACCAUGCAGUAGCAGGGAGAGGAGAUCCCAGAGUGGGGGUCCCGCGGCCAUCUGCCCUACCUGCUCUUCCCACCAGCAGCACAGCCUCAAUCCAGCCCCUCGGAAAGGAAGAAAAACACACUUUUUGCCCUCAGAAACUAGGAAAAGCCAAAGAAAUCUCUCUUUAGGACAAGGCCGAUGCUGUAUCCUGUCUUGUUUUUACUAAGUCAGAUCUUUUUUUCCACUGGAUCUUACUCUCGUGUGUGUUUUGUUGCUGUGUCCUUCUGUUGUUUUCAGCUUUCUGCCGCAAGAUGUGGAACUGUCAGAUUCCCAAUCAGAUCAACACCUUUAGGAUUUGUUUGACUUCCAAUACGCCUUCCUGAAGUUAUUGCUGACUAACGCUGUGAAAUCAUCAGUUUUUUAUUUUGAAUGUCUAAAACACCGUAAGAUUUCUUGAGGCUACUUCUCACAAAGAGAUUGCAGUUGGUGUCCUUUGCUCAUUAUUACAGGAUGUGAGUCAUUUUGAAGAAAGAGAGGGGGGGAGGACAAACAAAAACCCUAUUUUUCUCAAAGCUCUGAAAAUAUAUUUUGUCCCUGAUCUGAGCUGUAGUUUGAUGUGAAUAUGAGAGAAGCCAGGGCUGGCUGGGAGCUCUGCUGGCCCUGAGAUGCACAGAGCACGUGUCCUGCAGCAGCUGGCUGUGGGGUGAUGGCCCUCCUUACUCAGAGGAUGGGUACAUCCCUGGGCUGUAAUGUGAUAUAUCUUGAGCAGCUGAACACUUUGGAGCUUGUGAAGAACAAUACAGAGGGGCUGGAUUUUGUUGCGUUUUGAGCUCUUCCUGGAGAAAACAAAUGGAGUACUGUGGGUAUUUUUUUUUUAUUUGUGUAAUCUUGAGGCAGAGUAUCACAUAUUGCAGAGGAUGAUUGAAGCAGACAACGUUUGUGCUGGUUCCCAGUAUGGAAAAUGUGAACAAGACAAUUCUGCAUCACCUUUCCUUUCUGGGACCUGUGAGUACUGUCAGUGUUGCUGCUAUUUUAACUCAAGGACUGCUGCUCUGUGUGGUGUCAGUGCCAUUGCUCUGCAUGGAGAAGUGUCACCUUCCCAGGGGUGCAGCACAUGGGACCUCUUGCACUCCUCUGCCUGUCUCGGGUUCCUCAUGCUGUGCCCAUAUCGUGCCCUGUUCAAGCCAGGAGGGCACAAAGGGACCAAAGGGCUCAGCAGUGGAGAAGGAUAUAAAGUAAGCAAAGGGAGAUGAGGCGCAGGUCUGAGUAGUCGUGUGAGUGGCAGCCAGGGGAGGCCAGGGCACCUUCAUGGUGCCAAAACCUUUCUGCGGCUGUGCCUAGCACCCUGUGCUGAGGAAAGAGCAGACUUCUGGAACUGUUCUCCUGUUCUUCUGGAUGGCGACAAGUGUGGCUGCUGUAGUGGUACAUUGUGCAAGGCCAGAGAGCCACCCCUUCCUCAUCAGACCUGGAAAAACCUGGCUGAUGCUGAAGAAAUCUGUCCCAGUCACGUUCCCAGCAGCCAGCGCUGCUGGGGUCAGAUUCUUUGCUCUGGCAAGCUCACAGGGGCACGUGGAAGGCUAUCAGCAAGCUCAUCUGCUGCAGCUAUCAGCUCUGUGAAGCUCAUGGUACCCAACCAGAUGUGAUAUUUUAGUGGUAGACAAUACAGUGCCAGUAGGUGGAGUCUGUAAGGAUAAAAUGGCCAGCUGAAUUCUGCCAAUGGAGGACUUACCCAUGUGAAAGACAGCAACUACUUGCUGGAAGCAGCUAGAAGAUGCAGAACUCUCAGACAGCCUUUUAGUUUCUGAACUGACUUGGAAGCACCAAAACAUUAACAGAACUUACAGGCUCUUAUUAAGGUUACUUUUUCUUGCUACAGUCUCAGGCAGAGGCACAGGUUUUUCAGAGCAUAUACCUACAAUAAAAGUCCUUUGUGUAUUUGCCAUCAUAAUGACAACAGCAUCAGGCUUGACUGAAAAGCAGUUCGGGUGUGCAGGAGCUUCCCUUUCCUGGACCGAUGGGUUCUUAAUGUCAGCAGAGUCGCCUCAUCUCCACUCAUCUCAUUAUCCAGCUUACUCAGCUGUGAUGCAACCAAAAUUGCCCCAUGGCUUGUUACCUCAGAAGUCUCCAAAAGCUCAUGGGCUGUGUACUCUAUGAAGAGAAGUAGUGAUUCAGUGCUAAAACUGGCAGAGGCUGCCCUUGCUUCAUAUUAGAGCUUGUUCCUCUGUGUGCGCACACUCACGCGUAUCUCCUCUCUGGCACCUUAUCUCUCUCUUCUCUUUAGUGCUUUAUCUCACUUCUGCUCUUUAGUGCCCAUUAUCUCUUGUUGGCUUUCUGUAUUACAGGGUGUAGGGACACUCUUUGGGAGGAGUGCUGUGAAUCAACCUCAUCUGUCAUCUCCAGGAGAGCGUCUGUAGGGUGAGGCGUGUUUCACAUGAGUGUGCUCCUCCUCCUACUGCCGUACAACGUACACACAGCCUUCCUUACUGCUGGCUGCUGGAGCACAUCAUGUACUUCGGUCUCUUUGCUUGGAGUGUUUUUGGCAAUAACUGGAGCUAAGUUACCCUGCUGCCGGCUGCCUGCAGUUCCACCACCCUGUUCAUUUGUAUCCUCCCUUUAAUGAACAAGAGAAUACUUACGAAAAUACAGUUGAUGAGUUUCUUAAUCACCUGUCUGUAAAUCACUUUCCUUCUCUGAUUUGUAAUUUCUCUAUGCUUUUUUCCAUCUUUCAUGUAGUGACCCUGGUUCUCCUCCUGUUUUUCAGCAGCAUGACUCUACUGCACACAAAGAGAUGAUGGAGGGGUUGGGCUGGUAUAAGUAAGGAAGACCCAGUCCACAGGUAGUUUUGUGCUUUUACAGCUACCUGAAGUAAUGUGAGGAAAUGGCUGUUGUCACACGCUCACGUUUCUGCAUUCUGUUGGCUGAGUUUGGGGGAAUUAUGUAGAGCAGUUGCACUGCAGCAAGCAGUGUGCUAGUGGAAGACUCUCCUGUGCUUCUGUGGCUUCAGGAAACUCAUCUGCUAAAUUGGGAGCUGGUGGGCAGAACUGAUCCCGGUGCCGUUGCAGUGCAGUGUCACUGCCUGUGGAUGGCUGCCCUCAGCCAGCAGUUGCAGCAGAUGAAUAGCUGGCAGGAAGGUAACAAGCAACAAACAGACACCGCCUCGUGGCUGUUUUCCCAGUGCCCAGAUGUAUGGUGUGCUCCGGGACGAUGGGGACCUCCCUCUCUGCUGCAGUAGACACAUCUAUUAUUAGCUCAGUGGCAGCUUUCCAUAUGCCAACACUCGUGUCUGCAGGACUGUUUAAUUUUCACUUCUCCAAAGUACUUAAUUUGUCAGCUGUUGGCUUCUGUUCAUUAAAGACCAAACUUCAAAUUCCUCUAUUUUUUUCUGCUGGAGCUGAAUUACAGAUCCUAUCUGAACAGACCAUCGUACCUAUGCAGAAUUAGGGGCAGAAUGAUGUCUUAAAUCCAGAAAGUCAGCCUAAGGCUACUACCAGGAAAAAAAAAACCUGUCUCUGGAAAUGGCCGCCCAGUCUCCAUUUUUCUGUUAAUUUCCAUUCGGAGAAAGGAGAAAUCAGUUCUGCCAAAAGCACUCCCUAGCUGUGCUUCGGUGCCGGGCUGGGGAUGUGGCACACAGCUGCCAGUGCCCCUCUGCAGGCGCUGCCACUUCUCUGGUGGCUGAGGAUGGUGCUGCCAUGAGUUAAUCACCCACCAAUUCACUGCUGGGGGCCUCUCUUUAAUUAUUGAAUGUCACAAUAGAGGUAUAUUGCAUUACCUUGCUGGUAAAUAUCAUUUUCAGCAUCUCAUGUAACUCUAUAAUAUUCUCAGUUUUCCUACUUGCAUAACAUUAAAUCUUCAAAGAAUCUAAAAAUGUCCCACUAUAUUUUUAUAUGUUGCUUAUAUAGCAGUGUGUGUUUCCAGAGAAUUAUAUGCUGACUUUGAAGAUGGCCUUCCUGGCAGUUGGUACUGUAUGAUUACUUCUGUUGAAAGCCGGGCCUCUACUUGGAUGUGCAGUGGAAGGAAGCAGCAUGUGCACAGUGCUUUAUCAAGCAAAUGGACAAACACACCCCAGAACAGCAGCCAAAUGUCGGUCUCACUUACAGAAGCUGAACUGGUGUGAUCGUACAUCAGCUCUGUUUCAGCUGGGGUAACAGAGAGCAGAGAUUCUGGUGCCUUAAGGAUCCCUCUGAGAGAAGACCACUGAGAAAAGAUGUCAAUGCUCCGCAGCAGCUGGGGGGUAGGCAGUGAAAUCCUUCUGUGAGCUAUAUAUCCACCUUGCCUUUUUCUGCUCACGCAUAAUUUUAAGCAGCACGCUUCCUCAGAAUGAUUGUAGGGUUGAUGAAUAUGACUGUCAAAAUAUAUACAAAAUUGAGUUACAAUAUAAUGUAGCUUUUGGAUGUUAAACAGUCUCAAAUAACAAGCAUUCCUAUAUUAUUUUUUCUUAUGUGAGGAAAAACCUCUUUGAUUUUCACUGCUUUGAAAAAUCUCCUUGUGCUGCUCCUUCCCUUCCCAAGGAAGGAAAACGUGAGCGGUAAUGGGUAUCCUGCUCUGCUCCAUCCAGAGGACGUGGAAAGCUUUGUGCCAGCUCCUCUGGAUGCCCGUGAGUGCUUCUGAUCCCGCAGCAUCCUUCAGCUGAAAGCUGGUGGGCCCUGGAGCCCAGCACUGCCUGGUGCUGCCCUGCUCUGUGAUCCUGGUGCUAUUCUGGCAGCUGCAGGAGGACAGCACUCCUCCACCUGCUUGUGUUUCAGGGUGAGAUGUUGUUAUCUGUAUUCCUACUCCCCAACUACUGAGAAUGAACGAUCUUUGUUACUUGGUGUGGAUCUUUUUGUCUUUUGGAGAUCAUCUGUUUGAGUUUGUGAGGAAUGUGCUUCCUUUGCCAUCGCUCGCCUUGCUCCACAGGAGUGGUUUGUUUCCAAGGACCUGAUAUUAGAUUUUGGUGGUCAGCAAAACCUGGUACUCAGCUGUUGUAGCCCAAGCUCUGGCUGACAUUUCCUGCAGCGGCUGCAACAUGCAGUUCUGGUCCUGCAGUGCACAACACAAGAAAAGCCUUCUGUGUCCACGCAGAGCUUUACUGCAGACAGCUGACACAGCACACGGAGUCUGGGGGCAAGAGGAAAAGUCCCCACGUGUAUCUGUUACCUUUUGUAUUCUGCAGCAAUGCAAACAAGUGCCGGCGUUUGUCCUCACUCCUCUCCCUCAGCUCUGCUGUUAUGAACCCAUCGGAGGUGGUAGAUCUGCAGUGGGUGACAAAGGGGCUGCACAGCCCAUGGCCAUUUGUUUCUGCAAAAUCAUCUGGAUAAUGGAGGCUCCACCGUCGAUGCAGUUUAUAUCGAAACACCAACUGGGGCAAGAGGAUUUCUCAUUCCUUACUGUGCAAGAGGAAUAAAACAGCUUUCAUCUCAUUUUCCAAAUGGUGCUGAUUCCACGAGGGCCUGCUGGCAACGUACGAAGGACCUGGGAGGAAAGGCGAUGCCGCGGUCCAUGGAACAUCUUUGCAUUUCAGAGUUCGGGAGGAGUCACAGUGCCGUCUGAUGCCAGGCAGGCACACGCGCAGCCCGCGCCCACCCAUCGCGCCCAUGGCGGCGGCGGCGCCCCGCGUUCCGGAGCCAGGAGGGCGGAGGGGUGGGGGGGGCGGGCAGCGCUGCUGGAGCUGCUGGCGGAGGGCUCCAUCUACUGCUGCGCAGAGAGAAUGCUAAGGGAGCAUCAGAAGGUUCUAGAUUCUUAGAUUCCCACGAGGACUUAACUGGUGAUCAGUCCGUGCUGGUGUCAGGAAGAGUUCGUGUUCACAUUGCUUAACUGUGAGAGCUCAUCUGAAGUCAUGGGAAUGGACGAUUUGGACUGGAGUUCAGCCUGGCACAGCAGAGAACAGUUCUGUCCCCAGUGCUUUCCAUCUUUCUUGGUGACACAUCCCCACAGCUCCCCGGUACGCCCACUGGCACCACAUCUGUGCUCCUUGGUCUGCCUUAAAAAUGUACUCAAUGGUGAUUUUUUUAUUUUUAUUUUUUUGACUGAGUUCUUCCUUACCACGAAACUGAAUCGCCCACUCCUCGGAGGUAAAAAUGGGGCUCUGAACUCAAGAAAGAUGAUUGGGUUGAGGGUGUUGAGUGUAUCAGGAGCACAAAGGACAGCGCUGGCCUUUGUUUUACAUAUGCUAUGCAUGUGCUUAGUGCAUCUAUAUGCGUGUCUGCUUUGGAUCCAGAUUUUGAGGGAUAUGGGAGGCACUGAGGACAGCACAAGUCAUGGCAUAGUCAGGCUUUAGUUUAGAGGCUGUGCCGGGCUCUUCUGCUUCUGAAGUGGGCACAUAGUUGCUGCCUUUCCCUCUGCAAGCACGGGUAGCUGCCAGCCUGCAGCAGGGUGUCUGCCAUGGCGGGGAUGGGCCCUCUGCUCUUUGGAGCCUGAGCACAGCUUUGCAAGUUCUCCCAGUGACAAAUGCAUUCCUAGCAUUGGAUUUUCCUGUGAACAAUGAUGUGCUACCUGAGCACCCUAUGUGCAGUUGUUAUACUAAUUAGCUCUGUACUUGUGUGUCGGUAAUUAUUUGGUAAUUCAGAGCUUCAUGUAAAUUUUCUGAAGUGUCUUGUUACUGUUUGAAUAUGUAUAGCUGCAAACAUCUCUGUAAAAUUGUAGCAUCGUUGCAUGUAAUCGUAAAUCAGAGCUCCCAGCACCACCCUCUCCAAAGCCAUCAUGUGCUUCCCCAUUCCAGAGCAUCGCAUAGCCGCUCCAUCCCUGGUUGCAGCAACACCAGGAACAGCAGAAAUGCUUCUCUGACACAGCUGCCAACAAUUAAACUGUGUGAGGCUUUGCUGGUGGAGGUUACGAAGAAGCCCUUAGAAAUCUGAAACAGCUUUUGAAAACAAGCACUGAAAAUAUCUGCCAGAAGCCAAGGAAUAGAUUACAGAUGGCAAACUGAUGUCUCCCGGACUGUCGGGGAAUGAUUUGGUUUGACAAAUGGCUGUGAUCUACUCUGGAGCUGUGCGGAAGAGGAACCAUCAGGCUGCAGUGUACAGAAAUAAUCAAGCAAGAUUAAGCAUGCCUGGUGCUGAUAUUUAUGGGCGGAUCUGUCCUUACAGCCCAUGGCCAGAUCCCUUACAGCUGGGAGAUGGAGGGCCCUGCAACACUGCCGCUUAAUUUCUGUGCCAUGUCUGUCAUCUGUGAACCCUUCAGACCUCCUCUAAGGGCUUCUUUGAAGAGAGAAGGAAAGGCAGCAUCAUUCACCUAUGGACCGGAGCACAGACGUGGUAAGAGAGGCUGCAGACAUUUCUGUCUGUGAUGCAGAACCUUGCAAAGCUUUCUUCAUUCACACCGUAUAAGUAAAUUCGGCCUGUGCCUAACUGCUGCAAACCUUUUCAAAGCAAAUAUAUUUGUACAAAGGAAUUCAGAACAGAAAUGGAAUUUGCUCGUGGAUCAGAUUACUGUUAUUUCUGGCUGGAAGCAGUACCAGAAAUACUUGCAGGGAUUUCCACUUUGCCUUUGGAAAGAGGUUGCGUGUGUUGUUGGUAUAAAAGGAGCUCCGUGGGAGGUUAAUUCACGUACACAAAGAGACGGGAAAGGAGAUGAGACCAGCGAGGCUGUCACAGCCCUGGAUGUGGCUGCUGAGCUGUGCAUUGUAAUGCUCAGCCCCAGCCCACUUCUGAAACGCAGCUCUUCAGUUGUUGCUGUGAGCUGCAGUCACUGCUGUUUGGGAAGAGACAUUUGGAGCCCUGAGUCUGAGCUUUGUACGGCACAGUUCCCUCGAGGGCUUUGCCAGAUAACUUCAUGUAGAGGAUGCUAAAUGAAGUGUUAUUUUGAUAGUUCUUUGAGCACUGGUCAUUUGUGACGCUGCUCAAAGUGCUUUUACCUUAGAGCACAAACCUACAUCUGAUGGGAGCUUUGCGCCGGAGGUAUCUGGUGUUUUAAAAUAGAUGGAGUUGAUCAGAGUGAUCUGUAUUUUGCAACCAGCUUUAAACAAAGCCUCAUUUCAUUUCAAAGUGCUCUCCUGACCGACAGGCACUUGUGGAGAUGGACAGACGCACAGAGCUGCGGAGGGGCCGGUGCUGGGAUGGCAGCCGCACAGCCCGCCAGCAUGGCACCAAGUGCCUUUGGCCCUGGGGUGCUGGGACAGCGGGCAUCACCGGCAGAGAGAGGUGUUGGGGAAUACUGAGGACAGCCAUGCACUGCAGACUUCGAGUAGAGAAGUACCCAAUCUCUCUUAAUGUACAUGGACUGUUCCAGAAUGCAGUCAGAGUCCUCUGAUAACAGCCCCAAACGUGGAUCAAAAUGGUGGGAUGAACCGAUGUCUGCGGUAUCGUAUCAAAGAACAUUUCUGUUCCUGGCAAAGUGUGAAUUCUAAAGCAAAGAAGUAUGAAAAGGUUUUACUUCAGAAAGGUGAGGUCUGCCACUAUGCCAGCGGGGUUGGAAAUGUUACUUUUCCCCCCAUAAAUGCACUUGGUAUCUCCGAACACCCAGUGAAGGCUUCUCAGCUGGCAGCAUUUUCCCGCCAUCUUGGCUGAGUUUCUCCAUCCCCCUGUAAGGCCCGGGCACACAGGAGUGCGUCACCGAGGAGUGAAUGUUUGGGCUCUUCUGAAAUGCACGCAGACUCGGUG